Molecule: long non-coding RNA, 677 nt
Organism: Cicer arietinum (chickpea)
Lineage: Eukaryota; Viridiplantae; Streptophyta; Magnoliopsida; Fabales; Fabaceae
Source: RefSeq, a predicted model, not a curated record
CUAUACUAUGUUUCUAAUCUAUAAAAAAAAACGUGUCUUUUAAGAAAAAGAUUAACUCACAACAAAUAAGAAAUAAGAACAACUGUAACAUAAACAAAUUUGGGUAUUUUUGAAAUGCAUUGCCAAAGGCGUGGUCUCUGUCUCUGUCUCUGUCUCUGCAUUAUAAGGGUGGACCAUCACUAUCACUUCAAAUGGCAAAUAACAGGCUACACAGAGUACUGAAAAAAGAAAAAGCAACCGUCUCUAUGAAAAAGGAAAGAAUGACAGCGAAACACUGAUCCAACAAAGAUAAACAAGAGCAUUGAAAAACUCACAAGUGAUGGAGUUUCUAACUGUGGCCACUUCAUCUAUAUCUUCGUGUCCUUAUGCAGAGAAAGUGAAGGACUCAAUUGGUCCAAGCAUUCACGAUUGUUUGCUCAAUCAACUAAGUACAAAUUCAAGGACAGUUGAAAAUGUUGAAGAAAGACAUUAAGAUUGAGAAGGUUUAAAUAACUGUUAUCAUUGAAUUAGUUAGUUACAUCAGUUUGGAACCUCCUAAUUUUGUUGCUAAUGAUGUUCAUUUUCAUCUAAUUAGUUAAACUAUCUUCUAUUUUUGGUAUUUUGUCUUGUCUACAGAAAACAUAUUUUAUUUUUAAGUUUCAAUGUUGCUUUCUUUUGAAUAGUAUAAUAGAAUUGCA